AGUGCCUGAGCAGAACGGCCUCACACACUUUGAGGCUGGUGAUACACGUGCCAAGGAGUAUGUCAGCCUCCUCAAAUCCAAUGACCCUGUUGGAUUCAACAUUGUUGAUGUCUUGGCUUGGGGCUCCAUUGGCCAUGUUGUUGCUUACUACAUCUUGGCCACCACUAGCAAUGGCUAUGACCCUGCAUUCUUUGGCUGAUUUAAUUUCAUCAUCAUGUUGUUCCAACUGUGUUUCUUGCUUACUUUUUAGUAUGUAAUGUAAUCAAUGUCAUGAUGUAUAGGUUCUCUCUAAAGAUCCAACAAGUUCAGCAUAUGCUAAUUUGAUCACUAUUUUCGGCUGCAAUUUGGUUUGCUAUUAUGAUUAAUGGAAAAUGGGACUUCUCUACGUAUUGAAUUUGGAUUCUCUUUAUCAUGUUCCGCUGUGUUUGUUGCUUUAUAUUUUUUUUCUUGCUAGUUUGUAAUGCGAUGUAUAGGUUCUCUCUUGUUCAAGCAAGUCCAGCAUAUGCUAAUUUGGUCACUCUUUUGGGCUGCUAUUUGGUUUGCUAUUGUGAUUAAUGGAAAAUGGGACUUCUC
RNAcentral lists this long non-coding RNA (573 nucleotides) under Glycine max (soybean). RNAcentral describes it as "long non-coding RNA (GMAX_LNC000798)". The record is from RNAcentral. Lineage: Eukaryota; Viridiplantae; Streptophyta; Magnoliopsida; Fabales; Fabaceae.